This 465-nucleotide ribosomal RNA is filed under the name uncultured bacterium. RNAcentral's name for it is "partial 16S ribosomal RNA". It matches the Rfam family "Bacterial small subunit ribosomal RNA", at positions 28 to 507 of the family's 1533-position model. The record is from RNAcentral.
GACGAACGCUGGCGGCGUGCUUAACACAUGCAAGUCGAACGGAAAGGCCCUGCUUGCAGGGUACUCGAGUGGCGAACGGGUGAGUAACACGUGGGUGAUCUGCCCUGCACUUCGGGAUGAGCCUGGGAAACUGGGUCUAAUACCGGAUAGGAGCCAUUUUUAGUGUGAUGGUUGGAAAGUUUUUUCGGUGUAGGAUGAGCUCGCGGCCUAUCAGCUUGUUGGUGGGGUAAUGGCCUACCAAGGCGGCGACGGGUAGCCGGCCUGAGAGGGUGGACGGCCACAUUGGGACUGAGAGACGGCCCAGACUCCUACGGGAGGCAGCAGGGGGGAAUAUUGCACAAUGGGCGCAAGCCUGAUGCAGCGACGCCGCGUGGGGGAUGACGGCCUUCGGGUUGUAAACUCCUUUCGCUAGGGACGAAGCUUUUUGUGACGGUACCUAGAUAAGAAGCACCGGCUAACUACGUG